Molecule: ribosomal RNA, 161 nt
Filed under: Salix viminalis (osier)
Lineage: Eukaryota; Viridiplantae; Streptophyta; Magnoliopsida; Malpighiales; Salicaceae
Rfam family: 5.8S ribosomal RNA
About the family: 5.8S ribosomal RNA (5.8S rRNA) is a component of the large subunit of the eukaryotic ribosome. It is transcribed by RNA polymerase I as part of the 45S precursor that also contains 18S and 28S rRNA.
Source: RNAcentral
GACUCUCGGCAACGGAUUAUCUCGGCUCUCGCAUCGAUGAAGAACGUAGGAAAUUGCGAUACUUGGUGUGAAUGCAGAUCCCGUGAACCAUCGAGUCUUUGAACGCAAGUUGCGCCCGAGGCCUCCUGGGUGUGGUCAGGGCACUUCGCCAUGAGGUGUCA